GAUGAACGCUGGCGGCGUGCCUAAUACAUGCAAGUCGAGCGAACAGAUGAGGAGCUUUCUCCUCUGACGUUAGCGGCGGACGGGUGGGUAACACGUGGAUAACCUACCUAUAUUACUGGGGGAACUUCGGGGAACCGGUGCUAAUACCGGAUAAUAUAUUGAACCGCAUGAUUCAAUAGUGAAAGACGCUUUUGCUGUCACUUAUAGAUGGAUCCGCGCCGCAUUAGCUAGUUGGUAAGGUAACGGCUUACCAAGGCAACGAUGCGUAGCCGACCUGAGAGGGUGAUCAGCCACACUGGAACUGAGACACGGUCCAGACUCCUACGGGAGGCAGCAGUGGGGAAUAUUCAGCAAUGGGCGAAAGCCUGACCGAGCAACGCCGCGUGAGUGAUGAAGGUCUUCGGAUCGUAAAGCUCUGUUAUUAGGGAAGAACAAAUGUGUAAGUAAAUCUGCACGUCUUGACGGUACCUAAUCAGAAAGCCACGGCUAACUACGUG
Molecule: ribosomal RNA, 497 nt
Filed under: uncultured bacterium
Lineage: Bacteria
Description: partial 16S ribosomal RNA
Rfam family: Bacterial small subunit ribosomal RNA
Source: RNAcentral